Molecule: unclassified non-coding RNA, 197 nt
Filed under: Glomeromycetes sp.
Lineage: Eukaryota; Fungi; Glomeromycota; Glomeromycetes
Description: partial contains 5.8S ribosomal RNA and internal transcribed spacer 2
Rfam family: 5.8S ribosomal RNA (bases 1-65)
Source: RNAcentral
GUGAAUCAUCAAAUUUUUGAACGCAAAUUGCACUCUCUUCGGGGAGUAAGCGUGUGUGAGGGUCAGGCUAAAAAAAUCGAAAUCCGGGCUGGUUCCCGGCGGCCUUCGUCAGGAAUUGGGUUAUCUUAAUUCUACGGUUGAAGCGGCUUAAAAUUUUCUUUACGAUUCCUUGAACGGUGAUAAGAUUUAUUUCGUUA